GAUGAACGCUGGCGGCGUGCCUAAUACAUGCAAGCCGAGCGAACAGAUGAGGAGCUUGCUCCUCUGACGUUAGCGGCGGACGGGUGAGUAACACGUGGAUAACCUACCUAUAAGACUGGGAUAACUUCGGGAAACCGGAGCUAAUACCGGAUAAUAUAUUGAACCGCAUGGUUCAAUAGUGAAAGACGGUUUUGCUGUCACUUAUAGAUGGAUCCGCGCCGCAUUAGCUAGUUGGUAAGGUAACGGCUUACCAAGGCAACGAUGCGUAGCCGACCUGAGAGGGUGAUCGGCCACACUGGAACUGAGACACGGUCCAGACUCCUACGGGAGGCAGCAGUAGGGAAUCUUCCGCAAAGGGCGAAAGCUUGACGGAGCAACGCCGCGUGAGUGAUGAAGGUCUUCGGAUCGUAAAACUCUGUUAUUAGGGAAGAACAAAUGUGUAAGUAACUAUGCACGUCUUGACGGUACCUAAUCAGAAAGCCACGGCUAACUACGUG
This 497-nucleotide ribosomal RNA is filed under the name uncultured bacterium. RNAcentral describes it as "partial 16S ribosomal RNA". It matches the Rfam family "Bacterial small subunit ribosomal RNA", at positions 28 to 507 of the family's 1533-position model. The record is from RNAcentral.